RNA transcript from Magnolia sinica, 1264 nucleotides. It is a transcript of the gene named putative DUF21 domain-containing protein At3g13070, chloroplastic, with no coding region annotated. The transcript is spliced from 5 exons. NCBI's taxonomy places the organism in Eukaryota, Viridiplantae, Streptophyta, Magnoliopsida, Magnoliales, Magnoliaceae. The record is from RefSeq and is a predicted model, not a curated record.
CUUCAUUCUCUUUCUAAGGUUUUCCCUGGGAUUUUCUCACGCACAUGGAUGCUCCAUUCCUUUGCAUGUAUGCAUGUAUGACAUACAUACAUUCGGCGCCAUCCUCAACUCCUUCCAUCCUUCUACCCUUCUCCUAUAAUACCCUCUGUUGUUCGUCUGGAAGCAAGAAAAAAAAAGCAGCGAGAGAGAGAGAGAGGUAGGGAAACGACAGAGAAGGAGAGAAGGAAACCGACGAAAUCCUCUCGCAUCUAGGGUUGCAGAAACUCUAACCGGUUUUUCUAUCCCUUUUUUCUCUCUCCAACGCCCUACAUUCUGAAAAUCCCUGGAAUUUCCAUCCUAGGUUUCUUCCACGCGCUCCUUGAUCUGCAUUACCGGGAUUUUCUGGAGAGAAAACGGGGGGUUUCUAGGGUUUAUAGCUGAGAAAGAAUAGAAGUCUCUGAAAUCCCAGUUUUUUCCUGAAAUUUCUAGAAAUCUGUUCCGUUUUCCUGUUUGUAAAGGUGGAUCUAACCAUCGGAGAUCUUCAAGGUGCUUUGUGUUUGUCACUUCAGAGUUUUCUGGAGAGGAAUCGAGAGGUUUUCGGGUUACUGGCUUCAGUGAUACUGAAUCCUCGGAAUUUGAGUUUUCCCAUCUCCUUUUUGGAGACAUCUACCGUUUUUUUGCUCGGAUCGGAGCUCAAUCAGCGCGGAAGGUCGGAUCUCUGGAGUUUCCAAACCUUUGGCUUGCUCAUUUUCACUGAAUUUUUCUCGUGUCCUAAAAUUAUUUGGCAAAGAAAAUGGACGGGGUGAAUUUCUCAUCAACAUUAUAGUGGCCCUACCUAGCUCCCAUGGCAAGAAGUUCAUGAGAAAGAUUUCCGAAGAAAAGUCUGGUGGGUUUGUCACUUGUGAGAGCCAUUCUAAAGAAAAGCGUGUUGACAAUAUAGUGGGUAUUGCAUAUGCAAUGGAUAUGCUGGAUUAUGUUGAAAAGGAGUGUAAGUGUUUACCACUCUUUCUAUGGCAUGGGACAAUUUGAUCAAUCUGCUUUCGAAGGUUGAUAAACUAGAAAGUUCUAUUGUGGGAGCAAUUGCGCAUAAGCCUACCUACUUUGUACCUGAUUCAAUGUCCGUGUGGAAUCUGCUGAGAGAGUUCCGCAUAGGAAGGUUCAUAUGGCUAUUGUUCUAAAUGAAUAUGGUGGAACUGUGGGAGAUAUGGUGAAGCUUGUGAUUCAGAGAUAUACUAGAGAAGCUGGUGUGCGAAAUCUAGAGAGAAACUUAGUUGCCCUGGCUCGU